GUCACAUAGUGAAAAUUGAAUUUAAAAAAUUUUAAAAUAAAUAUAUCAAUAGUUUUAACAAUUAAAACUAUCGAACCAAAACUCAAAUCCUAGAAUCAUCUUGUAGAUGUCGAACAAAACACAAACAAGCAUGCAAAAAGAUAGAAGUUUAUAUUUCUUCCAAUGAGUAGUAUGGUAAGAUGGUGACCUCCAUGAGACUCUAAAGUAUAAUCCCUCCAAUGAUGAUCCACACGAAAGUUGGCCA
RNAcentral lists this long non-coding RNA (244 nucleotides) under Elaeis guineensis (African oil palm). Its description in RNAcentral is "long non-coding RNA (EGUI_LNC052297)". The record is from RNAcentral. Lineage: Eukaryota; Viridiplantae; Streptophyta; Magnoliopsida; Arecales; Arecaceae.